CAAAGUGCUCAUAGUGCAGGUAGUUGUAUUCGUAUUCUACUGUAAUAUGGGCACUUACAGU
RNAcentral lists this microRNA precursor (61 nucleotides) under Xenopus laevis (African clawed frog). RNAcentral describes it as "Xla-Mir-17-P4c4_pre stem-loop". It matches the Rfam family "mir-17 microRNA precursor family", at positions 11 to 70 of the family's 80-position model. Rfam says of the family: This family represents the microRNA (miRNA) precursor mir-17, family, which includes mir-20, mir-91, and mir-103. miRNAs are transcribed as ~70nt precursors (modelled here) and subsequently processed by the Dicer enzyme to give a ~22nt product. In this case the mature sequence comes from the 3' arm of the precursor. The record is from RNAcentral. Lineage: Eukaryota; Metazoa; Chordata; Amphibia; Anura; Pipidae.